GUGCUCUCUUCAGUAGCACAUAUACUAAAAUUGGAACAAUACAGAGAUGAUUAGCACGGCCCCUGCACAAGGAUGACAACGCAAACUGUCAUCUUUGCGUGUUUUUG
Molecule: small nuclear RNA, 107 nt
Filed under: Carlito syrichta (Philippine tarsier)
Lineage: Eukaryota; Metazoa; Chordata; Mammalia; Primates; Tarsiidae
Source: RNAcentral